RNAcentral lists this ribosomal RNA (454 nucleotides) under uncultured bacterium. RNAcentral's name for it is "bacterial SSU rRNA". It matches the Rfam family "Bacterial small subunit ribosomal RNA", at positions 340 to 786 of the family's 1533-position model. The record is from RNAcentral.
UACGGGAGGCUGCAGUGGGGAAUAUUGCACAAUGGGCGCAAGCCUGAUGCAGCCAUGCCGCGUGUAUGAAAAAGGCCUUCGGGUUGUAAAGUACUUUCAGUCGUGAGGAAAGGUGUUAAGGUUAAUAACCUUAGCAAUUGACGUUAGCGACAGAAGAAGCACCGGCUAACUCCGUGCCAGCAGCCGCGGUAAUACGGAGGGUGCGAGCGUUAAUCGGAAUUACUGGGCGUAAAGGGCACGCAGGCGGUUAAUUAAGUUGGAUGUGAAAUCCCCGGGCUUAACCUGGGAAUGGCAUUCAAGACUGGUUAGCUAGAGUCUUGUAGAGGGGGUAGAAUUCCAUGUGUAGCGGUGAAAUGCGUAGAGAUGUGGAGGAAUACCGGUGGCGAAGGCGGCCCCUGGACAAAGACUGACGCUCAUGUGCGAAAGCGUGGGGAGCAAACAGGGAUUAGAUACC